GCGUAACCUUGGUGUACGUAGUUUUGAUUUGCGUAGUAGCCGCUGGAAUUUGCGAAGCCGUGGACUGGAUAGCUCGGCUGAGCUUCCAUGGCGUAACCAUACUGUGAUUGAGAAUAAACUGGAGCGUCGUAGUAGAAUGUCGAAGGCGGAUAUGAGAAGCCGCUGUACUCCAUCUUGCUCACCUCCAUUUUUGCGGCACCGCCGUCUCCACUGCUGGAGGCGGCAGCUUUUCCGUCGUUCUCUUUCUUGUCGCCGCCACCUCCUACGGCUUCUUUUUCUUUCUUGUCGCCUCCGGCAGCGGCGGG
RNAcentral lists this unclassified non-coding RNA (305 nucleotides) under Hevea brasiliensis (rubber tree). Lineage: Eukaryota; Viridiplantae; Streptophyta; Magnoliopsida; Malpighiales; Euphorbiaceae. The record is from RNAcentral.